This 500-nucleotide ribosomal RNA is filed under the name uncultured bacterium. RNAcentral's name for it is "bacterial SSU rRNA". It matches the Rfam family "Bacterial small subunit ribosomal RNA", at positions 30 to 504 of the family's 1533-position model. The record is from RNAcentral.
CGAACGUUAGCGGCGCGCUUAACACAUGCAAGUCGAACGAGAAAGGGUAUCUUCGGGUACCCCGGUAAAGUGGCGCACGGGUGAGUAACACGUAGGUAACCUACCCUUAGGCGGGGGAUAACCUUACCGAAAGGAGGGCUAAUACCGCAUAAGACCACAUCGUGAGAGCGGAAGUGGUUAAAGUCGGCCUCUUCAUGAAAGCUGACACCUGAGGAUGGGCCUGCGCCCCAUCAGCUUGUUGGUAGGGUAACAGCCUACCAAGGCUAAGACGGGUAGCUGGUCUGAGAGGAUGAUCAGCCACACUGGAACUGAGACACGGUCCAGACUCCUACGGGAGGCAGCAGUGGGGAAUCUUGCGCAAUGGGCGAAAGCCUGACGCAGCGACGCCGCGUGAGUGAUGAAGGCCUUAGGGUUGUAAAGCUCUGUGGAGGGGGACGAAUAAGCAUCAGUUAAUAGCUGAUGUGAUGACGGUACCUCUUUAGCAAGCACCGGCUAACUCU